Molecule: long non-coding RNA, 227 nt
Filed under: Citrus maxima (pomelo)
Lineage: Eukaryota; Viridiplantae; Streptophyta; Magnoliopsida; Sapindales; Rutaceae
Description: long non-coding RNA (CMAX_LNC002709)
Source: RNAcentral
UUUUUUUUUUUUUUAUUACAUGAGACUAUUGCUCAGAUUACAACUCAUAUUACAUGAGAAUAUAACUGAUAUGUACAAAUCAGACUAUAACUGGGACCAACAUACAUCAAAUCUAAUGGAGCGCUGCCCAGAUUUUAACCCUCUCAAAUAUUCGAGGGAUGUCUACUCCUCGCACUGGGGUAAGGAAACAGACUGCCUUCACUCAAUUUUAUUUGAGGAAGGAAACA